This is a long non-coding RNA of Triticum aestivum (bread wheat), 944 nucleotides long. RefSeq lists it as uncharacterized. The record is from RefSeq and is a predicted model, not a curated record. The transcript is spliced from 2 exons. Lineage: Eukaryota; Viridiplantae; Streptophyta; Magnoliopsida; Poales; Poaceae.
GUAUAUGCGCUCACACGAAUCUCACGAAGAAUUGAUCAAUCGUGAACUACAAAGAAAGAAGAACCGAUGGAAGAACGCAGCGCCAGCCUCCAUCGAUUCAAGAAUUGGAAGCCUCGAACACACUCUGCCAAAGGACAGAAAAUCAAUCAAUUGAGCGGAUUUAUCAUACUCCAAGCAGGAACAUCAGAACUUGAAAUUGGGCACAAUUUUCAAUUACACAAGGAAGACGCACAGAAAAGGAUAUGGGCGUUGGCAUCCAGGAUCACUCGAUCGAAAAUCCAUACCAAUAACUCGGACUCGAUUCCGGACGGAGGAAGGUCUAAGCGGCGGCCGCUCGUCCACUCUCCUCCUCCCUUUUCCCCCUGGAUGCGAUGGUUGAGGCCGCACCCGCAGCCUCCAUCGGCACGGCCGUCUACAGCGGCGACAACCACAUCCCGGCAGCAACGCUCCUCCCUCCGGAGGAGCACCACGGCCCGCCACGCAGCCCGGCAACAGAGACGGCCAACGCGCAUGCGGAGCGCAGUUCUCUCCGCCACACCUUGGCACGGCGGCGGCCUUCGGCUCCGACGCCGCUUCUCCUGAUGCGGCGCGAUGGCGCGGCGGCCAACAUUCGUCCCACGGCGUGGAGAUGCUGCCCAGGCGCAGACGACCUUCGAUUGGCGACGCCAUCUUCCCUCCUAAUUCCUCGCGAGGAGAUGUGCUAUGACUCUGUACAGCCAAAGCUAACUCAAUCGAUGGAUUCUUGGCCGUAGCGAGAAUCACCGGAGAACCUUAUCUCUUCGGCCAUUUAACAAUUUGCAUUUUUUAUUGCCAAAUAAGGACAUCAGCUUUAGUACUACUUGCAUAGAAGCCCUCAGGCUAAUUGUGAUCGUAUCACUCAGACUCUCUGGUCUUCAUAUUGUGCAUCAUAUUUUAAAAAAUGAAUUCUACAUGUAUUAUGAGCA